This is a long non-coding RNA of Nothoprocta perdicaria, 394 nucleotides long. RefSeq lists it as uncharacterized. The record is from RefSeq and is a predicted model, not a curated record. The transcript has 2 exons. NCBI's taxonomy places the organism in Eukaryota, Metazoa, Chordata, Aves, Tinamiformes, Tinamidae.
UCCAACUCGGAUCCCUAAACCAAAGCCUAUGAGUGCAACUAAACUACCUGUGAAAAUUCCUGCUGGACAUCUCAACAAGUCACUCCAAGAGAGAAGCUGUGGAAAGCUACACAUUAUAAGGACUGUAUCUAAAACCUGCCUUCAAAGCGGAGGGAGAAGCUAAGAGUUUAACUCGACCUCAGAGACAGUACAACACAUUAGCACGUCUGUGUGACAGUUUUUGCAAACCCACAACAGAGACCUGUGCCUUCCUUAACAGCUACACAAGAAAUUCUGUCAGUACUCAAAAAAGAGAAUGCUUAAAAAUAUAGGCCUACUGAAAAAAAUAUUUCAGCAUCUGCCCUACAUGAYGUAUUUGUGACAAACUGUAGAAAUGAAAGAAGUAUGCUGCUGU